RNAcentral lists this small RNA (1204 nucleotides) under Pan troglodytes (chimpanzee). Its description in RNAcentral is "processed transcript". Lineage: Eukaryota; Metazoa; Chordata; Mammalia; Primates; Hominidae. The record is from RNAcentral.
CCAGCAAAAAGGGUUGUCUCUUCAUUCUGUUGAUGUGCAGAAGAUUUUUAGCUUGAGGUAGUCGAUAGAGACAGCUGGCAAGAUGGCCGAAUAGGAAGAGCUCUGGUCUGCAGCUCCCAGCGAGAGCAAUGCGGAAGCCCUGUGGCCAUGGGAGACCUGGCAUCCAAGGCAUACCACGAGGGAGCUUCACCUGGAUGGAGACUGGCUCUUCCCCCAUCCUGGCAGCCUGCCUGGCAGUGCAAUGGAGCCAGGGGUGGGGCUGCAGUAUGAUACCAGCACUUCAGGAACCAUGGGUUUCAGGAGAGAUACCAGAAGAUGUGAUGCUGGUGGAUGGCAAUGGGCACCUCAAGUCCCUCGUCACAAUCAGUGGAGACAUGGUCGGGCGAUGAUAAUGGUUUCCUGCCAUUUCAGAAGACAUAUGGUUUGGGCGAAGAUUUAUUCUCAGAUGGUGUUUGCUCCAGCUUGCCAUCACUGACACCUGCGCUGCCUUCGCUCCCACCUUCCCUGUUUACUGUGUACUACGUUUCUUGGCAGGUUUUUCUUCCAUGAUCAUUAUAUCAAAUAAUUCUUUGCUCAUUACUGAGUGGAUAAGGCCCAACUCUAAAGCCCUGGUAGUAAUAUUGUCAUCUGGUGCCCUUAGUAUUGGACAGAUAAUCCUGGGAGGCUUGGCUUAUGUCUUCCGAGAUUGGCAAACCCUGCACGUGGUGGCGUCUGUACCUUUCUUUGUCUUCUUUCUUCUUUCAAGGUGGCUGGUGGAAUCUGCUCGGUGGUUGAUAAUCACCAAUAAACUAGAUGAGGGCUUAAAGGCACUUAGAAAAGUUGCACGCACAAAUGGAAUAAAGAAUGCUGAAGAAACCCUGAACAUAGAGGUUGUAAGAUCCACCAUGCAGGAGGAGCUGGAUGCAGCACAGACCAAAACUACUGUGUGUGACUUGUUCCGCAACCCCAGUAUGCGUAAAAGGAUCUGUAUCCUGGUAUUUUUGAGGUGACUGGAAGCACCUGCUCAAUGGCUGCUCAUCAACAACAAACCAGAGGAGGGCUUAAAAGAACUCAGAAAAGCUGCAUGCUGGAAUAGAAUGGAGAAUGCUGGAGACACCCUAACCAUGGAGAGAAGUAAAAAAGCACCUCACCUUUGAGUCGCCAAAAUUAUGCUUCCUGGAAUGACCGCAUACCAUGUAGCAGAUUUAUUUUAGUUUGUUUACAG